AAGCACCGAUUGCAAUUAUAAGUUGCGCAUGUAGAUAUCGGUCUUCUCCCGACAUGCGCUCUGAUGACGGGUCCAUUUCCGCCAACUUAGGGUGAGAGUUAAGAGCCGGAGCCCUGUUGCCACCUGCAAAAUGCCUUAGCAGCAUGUGGCAACUAUCUGCCCGAAGCAAGUUGCAAGCCAGCCCAGUUCAGGUUGCCACAUGCCAUGCUGGGUAUUCCCAGCGCGCUAGCGCACCUGCUUGGGCAGCUCGCUAUGGCUGCCGUCGACAGUUGACCCUGGUAUGCCAUCGCUAGAGUCGCAGCCCGCUCCGGCCAACCUCGCUCCUCCGCAACCGACACACGAACCCGACGUCACUUGAUCCCACAAUUCCAGCGACUUUUGCGACCGGCUCUCCACCGACCGCUUGGAUGCUUGCGCCCGGUCGCUGCCCCAGCUACUUCCGCGGUGAAAUAACAACGGUGAGCACUCUCAACCACUGCGAGGACAGCCCUAGCAACCGCACUGCGUAAGAAGUACAGCAUCGAUUUGCUGCAUGUUGAUUUUGGCGCAAAUGGGGGGUGCAAGCAGUUUGUUUCUCUCAGACGCGAGCUAGCGCCCAAGCGCGCGAUAUGGGGGCGAGGAGCCACUAUGUAGCUGUAACGAUUGCAUGAGUGGCGAAUUUUACUUCGAGGGUCUAGGGUGCGAGCGGAGUGGGAUUACCCCCCGAGGGGCACGCCAUGCGCGCAGGCCCCAUGCAACAGAAAUUCGCCGGGCACCAACCCACGCACAGAUAAUUCAUAGGACUACACCAUAGCCAUCAGAGACCGGCCGGGAACAAGCCCCGCAAGCGGGGCAGCAUGGGCGCGACACCACCCUGCCGCGCCAACUCACCCCAAACACGCCCCAACCACUUGUGCGACACAAGGGCUACCAUACAGUAGCGCGCGACACCUAAUCGCGUGCGCCGGAGUGUGCGAGCAAACAUUGUACGGCUAAGCUCGUUUGGGCCCUAGGACGCAGGGCCUGGCCUGGCAUUUGGUGCAUUCAAUAGAGCAUAGAAAACCGAGGCCACAUAUGUGCUGGGGUGCGCAAAGGUCGGCGGAAUUGUGGGAUCAAGUGACGUGGAAAUGGAUCUGGGGGACUGCGGGGUUUUGGGGUGUGUUGGGUUGGUGGCGUGAAGGGUGUGAUUUGUGAGGAAUUUAUCGAUGCAUGCCAAGUUGCACGCCUUUCCCCUGUGUUUCCUACAUGCCCCUGAACCCUCCCUUUGCUGGCUGCAGGCGAAGCGACAAGUGGUACCGCUGGUACCACCCACGGGGGCCUUGUGCCCAGGCCGUGGUGGCGCAUGGUAACUAUACACGUGGCGGUCAUCGACAUUGCUUUGUGCCGGCGCGCAGCACCCAGGAUGUGCGGCAAUCGCUGAAAUGCAGUUGUGGGGUCCACACUCAUACGGCACCCACGCCCCACAAAGCACUGAUGCAGGGCUCCUGCAGCCGUCACGCCAUGGGAAUCAGCACAUGGGCAGUGGCCUGUGCAUACUUCUCUGUGGCCUGGCGGGGCAUCUGGCCAGGGCGUUUGACUAGCGGCAUGGGGCCUGCACGCCGGUACGGGGGCGCAGGCCCAAAAUGAUGCAAGGAAGCUGAUGUGUUGCGUGAGGUGCGCAGCGGUUCCUGAUGGACGUGGGUGCUGUCAUGCGUAUGUAUGUUGGCUAUGUGUGUUGUUCUUUGCGCCAGGGUGGUGUCGCCGCGCAGCGGAGCAUUGGCGUUGAUGCACGGGGCGUGAACAUUGGGGCCCGCAAUUGGGUUCGCGCCGGCACGGUCGCGGGCAUCGCUGAAGAUAUGUUGGCGCGACCGGUCGCUUAUGGUGCACGCUAAUACCCGCAUACUGUGCGUAAGCACCGAUUGCAAUUAUAAGUUGCGCAUGUAGAUAUCGGUCUUCUCCCGACAUGCGCUCUGAUGACGGGUCCAUUUCCGCCAACUUAGGGUGAGAGUUAAGAGCCGGAGCCCUGUUGCCACCUGCAAAAUGCCUUAGCAGCAUGUGGCAACUAUCUGCCCGAAGCAAGUUGCAAGCCAGCCCAGUUCAGGUUGCCACAUGCCAUGCUGGGUAUUCCCAGCGCGCUAGCGCACCUGCUUGGGCAGCUCGCUAUGGCUGCCGUCGACAGUUGACCCUGGUAUGCCAUCGCUAGAGUCGCAGCCCGCUCCGGCCAACCUCGCUCCUCCGCAACCGACACACGAACCCGACGUCACUUGAUCCCACAAUUCCAGCGACUUUUGCGACCGGCUCUCCACCGACCGCUUGGAUGCUUGCGCCCGGUCGCUGCCCCAGCUA
RNAcentral lists this long non-coding RNA (2304 nucleotides) under Chlamydomonas reinhardtii. RNAcentral describes it as "long non-coding RNA (CREI_LNC000665)". Lineage: Eukaryota; Viridiplantae; Chlorophyta; Chlorophyceae; Chlamydomonadales; Chlamydomonadaceae. The record is from RNAcentral.